CAGUCGCCGCGGGAAUACGAAGGGUGCAAGCGUUAAUCGGAAUUACUGGGCGUAAAGCGUGCGUAGGCGGUGAGUUAAGUCUGCUGUGAAAUCCCCGGGCUCAACCUGGGAAUGGCAGUGGAUACUGGCUCGCUAGAGUGUGUCAGAGGAUGGUGGAAUUCCCGGUGUAGCGGUGAAAUGCGUAGAGAUCGGGAGGAACAUCAGUGGCGAAGGCGGCCAUCUGGGACAACACUGACGCUGAGGCACGAAAGCGUGGGGAGCAAACAGGAUUAGAAACCCCCGUAGUCCCUGUCUCUUAUAC
This 301-nucleotide ribosomal RNA is filed under the name uncultured bacterium. RNAcentral's name for it is "partial 16S ribosomal RNA". It matches the Rfam family "Bacterial small subunit ribosomal RNA", at positions 509 to 807 of the family's 1533-position model. The record is from RNAcentral.